GGCCUCGGCCGGGGCUGCUGGGCUCCGCCGAGCCCCCGGAGGGGCGGCCGGGCCGGCCCCAGCCGCCACCGCACUGCGGUGCCUCCGGGGAGAUGCGGAUCCGCCCGGCGAGUUGGGCUCCCGGGCGGCCGCGGGGCUUGGCGCCGGCCCUGCGGGCUGAGGGUGCGGGCUGCGGGGCUGUGUGCGGCACACACGGUGCCUCCGGACCGCCUCUGCCCAUCCUCAGCCUUACAGCGCUCGGGAAGGGAAGGACGUGCCUGGGUGGACCCGGCUGUUCCCCGGGUGCAGAGCCGGCUUUUCCCCGUGGCACUGUCCGCCUGCUGAAGCAUAACGUAGCUAAAGCACUAAACCCCGUGUUUGGGAGGCAGGUGCUGUGCAGGGAAGCAAAGGAGCGAGCUGUCAGCGCUUCGGAGGUAGGAGUGCUGUUCCCAUUGCGGUUUCAGGUUGGAAAGGCUGGUGCUGUCAGGUGAAAACAGCGCUGUGGUUGCUGCUUCAGUCAGGCGGCACUGACGUUACUUCUUUAAUUGAACAGCCCGGUUUGCUGCCUAAUGACAUUAAGUGACAGCUGUCAGCUCGAGAUAGAAACGGGUUAUUUGCCCAGCAGAGAAGUAGAGCUGAGCAGAUCACAGAAGGAAUUUCUCAAUUUCUCGGAAGUGACUUCGUUAACGGAAUUCAGGUCUGCACGCUUUUCUUGCCUGAUUUUUAAAGAUCAAAACCACUGAAAACAAAGCAAAAGAAAAAAAAAAAAGGUGAAGUUUUGAGUCAGUGUGUUUGGCAGCUCCCCCAGUUGGUUGGGUCCCUUGUACACAGCCAAAAUGCAUCGUGUCACGGGAAAAGUGACUCAGUUUGAAACAUAUUCUUAAAAAAUAGAGUGUUUCUCCCAGUUGUAGUUCUCAGCAGAUUUGUCUAGUGGCGUAGUAAUUUCUUGCAUUUUAGAAAUGAGUCUUUGUUGACAGAUGCCAGGCUUUAGAAACAAAAAGGGGAAGUCAGACUAAUGCAGUCAGAACAAAGGGAAAGUGUAAAGCAGGCGGCAUGGAGUGAUUUUUGGAUGUAGGGUGCUUAUGUUAUCUGAAGAUAUUUUGCCUUAUAGAUACAAAAUAAUUUUGAUCAUGUGAAGUCCUUUAUUUUGCUAACUCUAGUAAGGUAAUAUUUCUUAAAAGGGAGGUUCCAUGGCUGAACAAGCAAUAGGAAGGAGGCUAUUCUGCACUCGGUUUGUUUGUUUUAAUUGAGGUGAUAAGGCCAAGUUUUAUUUGGUCAGGGUUUGAAAACACUUGCCUUAAUAAUUUUCUGUACUAUUCAAGCCAGAGAGUUCAGAAGAGUGGAAUUGA
Molecule: long non-coding RNA, 1328 nt
Organism: Parus major (Great Tit)
Lineage: Eukaryota; Metazoa; Chordata; Aves; Passeriformes; Paridae
Exons: 2
Source: RefSeq, a predicted model, not a curated record